AGAAAGGCAGUCUGCCCUUUGAAGCUUGGAAGCCAGGCAUUGACUUCUCUCUAGCCAUGAAAGUCCUAGAUGGCAUCUUCUUUCAAUGGAAGGCUGAUUCAUCCACAUUGAAAAUCUGUUU
This 121-nucleotide microRNA precursor is filed under the name Mustela putorius furo (domestic ferret). RNAcentral describes it as "miRNA (ENSMPUG00000023000.1)". Lineage: Eukaryota; Metazoa; Chordata; Mammalia; Carnivora; Mustelidae. The record is from RNAcentral.